Molecule: non-coding RNA, 212 nt
Filed under: uncultured Centipeda sp.
Lineage: Bacteria; Bacillati; Bacillota; Negativicutes; Selenomonadales; Selenomonadaceae
Source: RNAcentral
UUAGGUGUCAAAGACUUAAUAGAGAAUUCGGUGAAGGAUGUAUGGCCGUAUGCCAUGCAGACCGAUGCCGAAGCGGUCCCGCCACUGUAUCAGCGAGUGAGCCUGCAGGGCGCGCAGAGAUGAUCUGCCGUCCCGAUUUGCCACUGGAGGAAUAUCCUCUGGGAAGGCGCAGGUGAACGAUGACCUGGAGCCAGGAGAACUGCCUAGUUAUG